CCUCACCUCCGGGAGCCUCUGCUUCCCCUCAGAGGGUGUGGGGACCCCAGGAUGGUGCCUGGGAGGCAGACUGCAGCCCCAAGACAGCCUGGUCCCACCAGAGCAUCUGGUCUCAGAUGCUCUGAGCGGCCCCCCUCAACCAUCUCAGCAGCGAGCCUGGGUCAGAACACCCCCCGACCUGUACCCCGUUCCUUUACUGCUUUCCUUGGCAUUCCCUCAAAUCUUUUCCCUUUAAACUAUUUUUUUUUUUUUGGAUGUGGACCAUUUUUGAAGUCUUUAUUGAAUUUGUUACAAUACUGCUUCUGUUUUAUGUUUCGAUUUUCUGACCUUGAGGCGCGUGGAAUCUUAGUUCCUCUGCCCGGGUACGAACUUGCACCCCUCAACUGUCAGGGAAGUCCCUAAACCCUUAAAUUAAAGAAGAAUGUCCCUCACCUGCUUCCCCGCAGCAAGGAAACAAGUUCCUGGCCCGCAUAAAGGCCACCCUGAGCCUGCAGGGAGUGAUGAUGGCUCUGCUAUCCACCCGCUGGUGAGGGUCUUCGUGCUCAAAGUGACUGCUUGUUGGGAGAAGGACUCUCUGGUUUCAGUGUCAAUGCCGACUGCCGCAUUCUGUAAGUCAGGGUCUGUGAACCAUCUCGCCCCGGUCCAUCGACCCGGAUGCCUAAGACUGUUCUAUCGGGAUUGUGAUUUGAGCUCAAGUCUGUGUGGAUCCUGGGUUGGAGGUAAUCUAGUUGGCUCAGGAGACCACUGUAGGUCUUUCAGGAUUGCAGAAAUACCAUUCUGUUCCAAGAGUGAAGGAACAAACACAGAACUGGCAGCUCUAGUGGAUCAGAGACAGAACCUGCCAACCUAA
Molecule: long non-coding RNA, 850 nt
Filed under: Bos indicus x Bos taurus (hybrid cattle)
Lineage: Eukaryota; Metazoa; Chordata; Mammalia; Artiodactyla; Bovidae
Description: lncRNA (ENSBIXG00005026395.1)
Source: RNAcentral